UUAAAUCCCCCUUCUGAAACCUCUCAAGAACCCUAGUCACUGCCAUCUAACCCCACCCUAAUCCACCUCAACCAUUGUCUAAUCUAUAGCCUCCCACUGUCAUUUGAGAUAUGUAUCAGCCUCCUAUGGCUCCUUGGUGUUUUUUAUGUGGUUUCAUCGCCAGACCUCAUGGGAAUAUGGUCUAGUCCUUGCUUAACUUUAGUUCAUGGCUUUUCUCCGGUCAUCUGUGACCUUUCUCCGACCAUUCGUGCUUGUUCAAGGUAGAUCCUUGACUUUCCGAGUUAGAUCAGAAACUUUUAAAGCCUUUCUCACCUCUUCUGGGUUUUUUGAAAUCCUAAUAUUUAAGAUCUUUUGAUUUUUCUCUCAGAUCUACCAUAGAUCUAUGUUUACUAUGAAUAACUUAAGUGUUUUCUCAAAAGUUCUUCAACUUUUCUUUCAAAACAACUCUUCAAUCGGGCUUUCCUUUAAGUUUUUUAAAAGAUCUAUUCUCCAAUUUUAAUGUUGUUUGUGAUUUUGCUAUCUUUUGAUCGUGUUGUUCUUCUAUCUGAUUCAGCAUGUUGAAAAUCCUAAUUCUAUUUUGGUCAUCCGAGUUUUGGAAUUGUUUGUUUAUGUGUGUACUGGUUCGAUUAAGUUCUCUGUUCUUGUUUGACUUAUUUGAUUCCGAGUUGAACCAUCGAUUAAAAAGUUCUUUGUUUCAGACUCUCUUUUCUUUGUGUGACUUAUCUGAUUCUGAGCUUUACUAUCUUUUAACAUAAUUGUUUUUGAAGCCCUAAUUUCUUGAAAGGUUUACCUCACUUGAUACUGUGAGAAUUUUACUUGCUACUGAUUCUCUUUAUCUAUUGCUAUGUUUUCUUCACAGUUGAUUCUAUGUGACUACCUGACAUACUUGACUACUGUGCUUUGAAUAUUUUUCUUACUACUGAAUCCUAGCAUAUUCUUCUCUGCUACUAUUGUAUGUUGUUUCUUUUGCCAAAAUGUUUGGCCUCGCAUGUUUGAUGCUUAUGUUCACUCUAUUUAUAGAUUGAAGUGCAGAAUCAUGUUUCUUUCUUGAUUAAUCUCGAUCUGGUGACUGAUUGCAAAAGUUUUUGUUUUAUGAACCCUAAUUUCACUCGCCAGUUUAAAUUUAAUUGAUUCUUUUCCCUUAACUAUGAUGUUUUACCUUGCUGGAUCUUUUCCCAAAAUAAGCAUAUUUUGUACUUAGACUUGAUUAUUCACUUCAUUAUUUUAUUACCCCUUACAUGGCAAUAAUCAAUCUGUCCCCAAACUAAUUUUCUUUCCUUAAUUGAACCUGCUACUACCCGUUAAUCAGUGAUUCCUUAAUUAAAGGGAGUCAUUUGGAUUAAUUGAUUCUGACUUGUGAUUGUUUCCAUGUUUGUAUUAAGACUUUUCUAAUUACCUAUCCUUCAUUCGUUUUCAAAAGCUAUAAAUACACACCCCUCUUAUUUCAAACACACGAACCAUUUUGAGUUCAGAACACACACUUCACUCAAAACUCUCUCUUUUCUCUAUUACUACUUGUGCUACUGCUUUGUCUAGUCGGUUUAAAGCCAAGGAUAGGCUGCCUUUCUGCACUUUUUCUCUUUACUGGUAUGUCCUAUUUAAUUUUCAAGCAUCAACAACAAUCUGUUUCUCUAAUUGUUCGAACUUCUCUCAUGCUUGUCUACUUUUGGUCAUGUUUCUGCAAUCAAGUUACAUCGUUAGCAUGUUGAAAUGUGUUCCCUUCCCUUUUUGGAUUAAUGCUCUCCUAUGUGUAUGAAUCCCAAACCCCACAUCUCCUCUUAGUGUUUAUGUUCUCUCACUGUUUUGCGGACAUCCCAGCAUCACCUAUUGCUGGGCAUAUCAAAGUAUGACCCUUCCUAUGUCAUAUGCUUCAUGCAAUGUAUUUCCCAAACCCCUGACCCCUUUGUGCAACUACUGAUUCUGUGUAGUUUGAGUUUUACUACUAUUGUUUUCAAAUCAUCCUUACCACUUACUAUUUCCCAGUCCAGUUUUAAAUAAAUUUCUAUGUUCUGCACUUCCACUAUAUUCCUAGAACCUAGGUUCUGCCCCUCUUUUGUGAGCCUUGCCUUGGGACCCUUGAGCUCCAUCUGAACUUGGAAACGUAAGGGUUGGCCCUUCCACACUGCACUCAUCUCUAUUUGCUUAUGCAAACCUGGGUGUAAGCACUACCCGUGGUCCCUUGAGACCCUUAGGGAACUUUCACACACCCAGGUAUGAGAAAGGCUUUGAACAUCGUUGGAGUUUUAGGUAGUUUAUUCCAUAACUCGGAGAGGAAGUCAAGAUUCAGGCUUCCUAAGGUAACUUCUUAUUUUUCUGAUGUACUUCAGUCUCUUGGUCUGUAAUAACUUGUAAUAAAUAUUGGGGCCUAGCUAGUGAAAAGGGAUGGGU
Molecule: long non-coding RNA, 2388 nt
Filed under: Nicotiana benthamiana
Lineage: Eukaryota; Viridiplantae; Streptophyta; Magnoliopsida; Solanales; Solanaceae
Description: long non-coding RNA (NBEN_LNC007143)
Source: RNAcentral